Long non-coding RNA from Rhineura floridana, 2495 nucleotides. RefSeq lists it as uncharacterized. The transcript is spliced from 2 exons. Lineage: Eukaryota; Metazoa; Chordata; Lepidosauria; Squamata; Rhineuridae. The record is from RefSeq and is a predicted model, not a curated record.
GGAGCAGCCGAUACCCCGCACGCGCAAAAGGAGCGAACGUGCCCGCGCGCGCGUUGCUGACGCCGUUGCUACUCUACUACUGACGGAAUACAACGCGCCGCCUCAUUGGGCGGGAAGUCUCACAAGUCGAUUCCUCGUCCAGCCCCUUUGGCUGCCCCCCCCCAUCGCUACCACCUCGCGCCUUCUUCAGGGGCUGGACGGACGACCGACCGAUUGAGCAGAACGUGGGCGAGGGGGAUGGGAAGAUGUUGCAGGGUAGGUGGAAGCCGCACGGAGCGUCAAGAGACGGUGAUGUUUUCUGUCAGAGGAAAAGAGCGGCCGACCGGCUAUGAAGGACUCCAUUUCCCUCGGGGCUGCUGAGGUUCUUCCGUCUCCACUCACGGGUGGCGGCGGCGGCGAUAUUGUGAGGCAAGAAACCUCGACUGUAUGUGCCGCCACCCCUACACACACCCCGCCGCCAGCCUUGGUCGGUUUCCGCCGGGCCCCUCAGGUUAAGGGACUGCCAAAAUCAUCAGCAUCUUCCCGGGCUUUGCGGGCUCCCACUUAACUUUAUGUGGGGAGGUAAACCCUCGGGGUGCUUCACACGUUACGCGUUUCUCGCACGGAAAGAAGGCACUCCUCCUGGACGGGAAGAAGCUGUGCGGCGUCCGCGCCUGGGUCGCCUUUCUGGGAUUGUUCCACGCGCUUUCCUUUGAGCCCUGGGGCAGACGAAGGGGGUGCAACGCCCUUUCCCUCCUUCCUGCAGGGAGACUUUUGACGCGGGAGCUGUCGGGCUCCGGGAAAAGAUAAACGCUACCGAGCGAAAACGCGGGUGUCAAAAGAGGUUGCAUCCUGAAAAGAAAAACAAAGCUCUGGAGCUUUUAAAACACGAAAAGAGAGAUUCACAAAGCUUCCAGCUUUAUGUCUUUCAUCAAGUUACCAGCUUCUGUAGACAAGGAAGGCAGGCUACAUGCAUCCUACAAUAUCACCCUCAUGAUUGCAAAGAAGGGAAGGUCACAUGCGGUUAGCGAGGAGAUCAGUCUACUAACCAUAAAGGACCCAAUUUGAAGAGUAUUGUACUGAGUAGCCAUACCAUUCAGUGCGAUAUUUAUGAGGUGGCUGAGGAUAUCAAAAACAAAACAGUGACUUCAGAACUUCAACAGUGUAACUUUGCUAUCCAGCUGGACGAGUCACCAUUUGGAAGUGUUAAUAUUUGUAUGCCAUAUGUAUUGUAGUCCUAGCAAAAGGUGCAUUAUUGAUGAGCUGUUUGCCAAGUUUUUAAAAGCUGACUUGAAAGGUGAAACACUUUUCUUGUCCUUGGAGGAGUAUUUUUUUUAAAGAAAUAUGACGUUUCACUAGUAAUAUUACAGCAGGUGCUUCCAGGAGUGCACCAGGCAAUGAUUCCAGGUGGCGUAGAUUUUCAGCUUUUCUGAAGCAAAAAGCUCCUUAUUUAAGUACUGUACAUCAUGUUCUGUACCAACAGCAUCUUGUUGCAAAAACCUCAGUGAAGAACUUCAAAAAUUUAGAAAGUGUAUCAAAUCAUUUGACAAGAUGAAAGCAAGCUGACUUAAUUCUCACCUUUUUGCAAAGUUAUGUGAAAAGAAUGAUGAAAAUUUCACCCAGCUACUUCUGCAUACAGAUUAUAUGGUUGCUAUGAAAGGGAGAUGAUUUACAAAGACUAGUCAAGCUUUUUGAUUCAGCCAUAGAGUUCCUGAAAGAUGUGGAACCAUCACUGGAUAAUGAGUAGUUGUUCUGGAAAAACCAUCUGUUUAAUUUAGCUGACUUGUAUUCUGAAUUUAAUGAAGUACAAGAAGACUGCAAAGGGGAAAGACAUUACUAUCAUUAAACCCUAAACCAUUAUAAUGGUUUUGCAAAAACAGAUAGGCUUCCACAAAUCUGCUUUAGUACACAGAGACUUACAAUACUUCACAAACAUGUCACAGGAAUCAGGAUAGUAUUACAGAUAACAGCAUGCUCAUCUGUACAGCCCAUCUUGAAAAUCUGAAGGAAGAUUUUAAGGUUUGCUUCAAAGAUGCUGAAAAUAUAUAGAUUCUUGAUUGGAUUAUGUCUCCAUUUGACAUUGAAGCAGGAAUUGCAAAUGUGGAGCCUAACCUACAGGACAAAUUCAUCAAAUGAGGGUGCUUCUUGAGACAAAGGUUCUUUUCAGUGGUAAGGACUUCGGUGGUUACAGGAGCAGUGAGAACCUUUGUAUAGCUUAUGGACUCAUUACUGGUGACAUUUCCAAAUUCAUACAUGGUCAAACUGGAUUGAGCCAUGUUAGUACUUUGUUGAACAAACUGAGAAACAGGCUGAAUGUCGAAGAAUGUGGUGACAAGACUUAAAUUCACCAACCUACAGCCCAGUAUUCAUACACUUGUCUAAACUUGUCAGGCCCAUCCAUGUCAUUAUAGAAGAUUAAAAAUAUGGUAUUAUUAUUUUCAUUCAUUUAUCUUUUACAUUUUAUGAUUCCUAGUAAUGGUGACUGAUAAUUAAUAAAUGUUAAUUAUAUACUGAUA